RNAcentral lists this transfer RNA (73 nucleotides) under Phalansterium sp. PJK-2012. RNAcentral describes it as "tRNA-Lys". It matches the Rfam family "tRNA". Rfam says of the family: Transfer RNA (tRNA) molecules are approximately 80 nucleotides in length. Their secondary structure includes four short double-helical elements and three loops (D, anti-codon, and T loops). Lineage: Eukaryota; Evosea; Variosea. The record is from RNAcentral.
GAAGGCAUAGCUCAAUUGGCAGAGCGAUGGUUUUUUAGUCCAGCGGUUUCGGGUUCGAUUCCCGAUGCCUUCA